This 253-nucleotide ribosomal RNA is filed under the name uncultured bacterium. RNAcentral describes it as "partial 16S ribosomal RNA". It matches the Rfam family "Bacterial small subunit ribosomal RNA", at positions 524 to 776 of the family's 1533-position model. The record is from RNAcentral.
UACGAAGGGGGCUAGCGUUGCUCGGAAUCACUGGGCGUAAAGCGCACGUAGGCGGCUUCCUAAGUCAGGGGUGAAAUCCUGGAGCUCAACUCCAGAACUGCCUUUGAUACUGGAGAGCUUGAGUCCGGAAGAGGUGAGUGGAACUCCGAGUGUAGAGGUGAAAUUCGUAGAUAUUCGGAAGAACACCAGUGGCGAAGGCGGCUCACUGGUCCGGUACUGACGCUGAGGUGCGAAAGCGUGGGGAGCAAACAGG